CCUACGGGAGGCAGCAGUGGGGAAUAUUGCACAAUGGGCGCAAGCCUGAUGCAGCGACGCCGCGUGAGGGAUGACGGCCUUCGGGUUGUAAACCUCUUUCAGCAGGGAAGAAGCGAAAGUGACGGUACCUGCAGAAGAAGCACCGGCUAACUACGUGCCAGCAGCCGCGGUAAU
This 174-nucleotide ribosomal RNA is filed under the name uncultured bacterium. Its description in RNAcentral is "partial 16S rRNA". It matches the Rfam family "Bacterial small subunit ribosomal RNA", at positions 338 to 524 of the family's 1533-position model. The record is from RNAcentral.